CUAAGAAUCUUGCGCAAUGGGCGAAAGCCUGACGCAGCAAUUCCGCGUGGAGGACGAAGGCCCUCGGGUCGUAAACUCCUUUUGCGAGGGAAGAAGUUCUGACGGUACCUCGCGAAUAAGCCACGGCUAACUACGUGCCAGCAGCCGCGGUAAUACGUAGGUGGCGAGCGUUGUCCGGAUUUAUUGGGCGUAAAGAGCCCGCAGGCGGCUUGGUAAGUUUCGGGUGAAAUCUCCCGGCUCAACUGGGAGGGCGCCCGGAAAACUAUUAGGCUUGAGGCAGGGAGAGGGAUGUGGAAUUCCCGGUGUAGUGGUGAAAUGCGUAGAUAUCGGGAGGAACACCAGUGGCGAAGGCGGCAUCCUGGCCCUGUCCUGACGCUCAGGGGCGAAAGCGUGGGGAGCAAACCGG
RNAcentral lists this ribosomal RNA (406 nucleotides) under uncultured Chloroflexota bacterium. RNAcentral describes it as "bacterial SSU rRNA". It matches the Rfam family "Bacterial small subunit ribosomal RNA", at positions 355 to 776 of the family's 1533-position model. Lineage: Bacteria; Bacillati; Chloroflexota. The record is from RNAcentral.